GGUGUAAUGCGACUCGCUCACAGAGCGACAGGUUCACAGUCCUACAAACGCAGAUGACACC
Molecule: non-coding RNA, 61 nt
Filed under: unclassified sequences
Source: RNAcentral